Cornus florida is the source of this 801-nucleotide long non-coding RNA. RefSeq lists it as uncharacterized. The record is from RefSeq and is a predicted model, not a curated record. NCBI's taxonomy places the organism in Eukaryota, Viridiplantae, Streptophyta, Magnoliopsida, Cornales, Cornaceae. The transcript has 3 exons.
UAUGCAUCAGUUCAUGGACUGUCCUCUGUAGAUGAUGAUCUUAUCUCAUCUCUCUCUCUCUCUUCCUCACACUCUCUCCCUUCUCCAUCAGUUCACGGACUGUCCUCUCUCACUCUCAUCUUCUCCAUUUCCCAGACACCUACACAUUUUUUUACGUCUUUUUAUCUCCAUGACACAUCUCCAUCUUUGUCUUAACCUUAUACAUCUCUCCAUCUUCUGAUUUUAAAGGCAACACACACACUCUCUCUCUAUCGUUUCUAUCUACCCUAAAUAUCAUAUCAUGCCUCCUCAAUCAUUAGGUACCUAACUCCUCUUAUUCUUCUUCUCUCACAUUUUCCAGUGUUGAUGUGAGUAACUCUGGCGAGAAGGCGAGAAAGGACACAACCUUGUGAGAGUUUGAGCAGAAGGAGCAAUUUGGAGGUGAUUGCUAAGUAGCAUCGCGGAUCAUCGAAGUAUCUGAAUCCAAGUUUGAAGGUUUGCUGCGUCUUGCAAUAGGAGAAACUAAAUUGAAAUGAGUGGUAACACUUUUUUAAGAGUUCAAUAACCGUUAAACGCGGCCGGUUUAUAUUGAUAUUCGUCUGAGUCCGUUACAGUGCGACUGCGAAUCAUGGACGGUACAUGAUGGGAUUACUGCACAUAUAUAUGUUAAAUAUACUGUUAUAUAAGAACUGAAAGGAGUUUGGGUUAUAUAAGAGCAUUUCCAAUGUAAAAUGUUAUUUCUCCAUUGUAAAAUUAUAUUUUAAGAGGAUUUAGAUGUACAGUACCAAAAUGUUAUAUUUUAAUAAUUAUGUUUUAAUGAUA